UAUUAAGGAUUCUAUUAGUGAUGUUAAGAUCUUUUUGUUACAAAUUCUAUUUUAUCUUCUAUAGACAAGUAUCCAGUACAUUUUCAAGCAAAUUUUAUAAAAUAUGACAUUGUAAUCCUUGUUGUAAAGAUAAGAGCUUAAUCUCUACUAUUCUUUCUUGAUUAUUUUUUCCAAAUAUAGUCAUAAAUAUUUUUGAGAAUGAAUUCAAAUCAUA
Molecule: long non-coding RNA, 214 nt
Filed under: Physcomitrium patens
Lineage: Eukaryota; Viridiplantae; Streptophyta; Bryopsida; Funariales; Funariaceae
Description: long non-coding RNA (PPAT_LNC004754)
Source: RNAcentral